Molecule: small nuclear RNA, 103 nt
Organism: Meriones unguiculatus (Mongolian gerbil)
Lineage: Eukaryota; Metazoa; Chordata; Mammalia; Rodentia; Muridae
Source: Ensembl
UGGCUUCAGUAGCACAUAUACUAAAUUAAGGACAAUACAGAGAAAAUUAGCAUGGCCCCUGCACAAGGAUGACAUUCAAAUUUGUGAAACAUUCCAUACUUAA